UCCUGUAUACUGAUGUAUAAAUAGGUCUAUGUUUUUCUUUGGACAUCUUCACUUGAGCAAUACCCUGGUUACUUCUUUAGUCUUGUACAAUUCACUGUAAUACGUCAUGGUAAAAAUAAAAGAGAGAAGAAACUAGAAGCUAUGCUAGUAGAGACUGCUAUCUUUCCCCAAAAGCUAUCUCAUAAGCUGUUGGAGAAAUUUUUGUAAUCCUUGAGAUUGCUCUAAAAGGAACCUCUCGUAGUCCAAAGGGACUGAAAAUAG
This 261-nucleotide long non-coding RNA is filed under the name Capsicum annuum. RNAcentral's name for it is "long non-coding RNA (CANN_LNC009480)". Lineage: Eukaryota; Viridiplantae; Streptophyta; Magnoliopsida; Solanales; Solanaceae. The record is from RNAcentral.